Molecule: ribosomal RNA, 253 nt
Filed under: uncultured bacterium
Lineage: Bacteria
Description: partial 16S ribosomal RNA
Rfam family: Bacterial small subunit ribosomal RNA
Source: RNAcentral
UACGAAGGAUCCAAGCGUUAUCCGGAUUUAUUGGGUUUAAAGGGUGCGUAGGCGGGUUAUUAAGUCAGUGGUGAAAGCCUGCAGCUUAACUGCAGAAUUGCCAUUGAUACUGAUGAUCUUGAGUAUGAUUGAGGUGGGCGGAAUGUGUCAUGUAGCGGUGAAAUGCUUAGAUAUGACACAGAACACCGAUUGCGAAGGCAGCUCACUAAGUCAUAACUGACGCUGAUGCACGAAAGCGUGGGGAGCAAACAGG